Long non-coding RNA from Galeopterus variegatus (Sunda flying lemur), 910 nucleotides. RefSeq lists it as uncharacterized. The transcript is spliced from 4 exons. The record is from RefSeq and is a predicted model, not a curated record. NCBI's taxonomy places the organism in Eukaryota, Metazoa, Chordata, Mammalia, Dermoptera, Cynocephalidae.
GGGCUGCAGACCCCAGCUCCCGCGAGCGCCACGGCUGGCUUGCCUGUUCCAUGUGGCUCCGGCGGGGAUGGAGGACCCGGUGGCGGCGGCGGCGGCUGCUGCUGCGGUGGCGACGGAGAAGCGGCUCUGAGGAGGGAACGGGGCCAGACUCAGCCCGACAGCGGGAUUAGAGUUCUCCAGAAUACACGUCAUAUAGUCCCUGAGGUGGAAUGGUGAUGUCUCCAUGAGGGAACCUCCUCUCACUCAUCCUGUCAUGUAUAUCAUACUGUUCUUGACUGGUCCAUUCAUCUAAGAUGGGAUUUACCCUGUGAAAUGGGGAGAAGACUUAUGGACCCCAAACAUCAUUUCAAGUUGUAGUUGAGUUUUUAAAGUACAGACACAUGCAAAGCUCCUUUGCUUUGGACCCUCUGCUUUAUUAAAGUUGCUGUGUUGCUAACCCAGAACUGCUCCGGUGAUCAUCAUGGCUUCAGUUUGGAAGAGACUGCAGCGUGUGGGAAAACAUGCAUCCAAGUUCCAGUUUGUGGCUUCCUACCAGGAGCUGAUGGUUGAGUGUACAAAGAAAUGGAGCAUCUGGAAGGCCAGUGUGUGGAGUACAGUGAAAAGGGAUAAAGCGAUAAGAGGUGAAGUCUAAGAGUGGUAGCCAGUAUGGGGAUCUGAAGCCGUGACGUUGGUGUUAUAAGGCUGAGCUCUAACCAAUUGAGCUAACUGGCCAGCCCUCCUUUGUCUGAAUUUCUGCCAAAGUUGUUCUUUUAAAAUGAACCUUCCAUAGUUCCCUUUUGUUUAUACGAUAUAUUUAGUAUGAUAUUUUAAUCUUUUAAAUCUGUUCUUAUUCUAUUGUACUAGUCUUCUUUCAACCAUUUAUUUCCCUUAAGAUUCUAAAAUCUUGUUUACCACAUGCAAAUAGUUUUUC